Molecule: ribosomal RNA, 402 nt
Filed under: uncultured Rhogostoma
Lineage: Eukaryota; Cercozoa; Thecofilosea; Cryomonadida
Description: partial small subunit ribosomal RNA
Rfam family: Eukaryotic small subunit ribosomal RNA
Source: RNAcentral
GCUUGUCUCAAAGAUUAAGCCAUGCAUGUCUAAGUAUAAGCCUUUACACGGUGAGACUGCGAAUGGCUCAUUAAAUCAGAAACUGUUUAUUUGAUAGUGCCUACUACUUGGAUAACCGUAGUAAUUCUAGAGCUAAUACAUGCAAAAAGCCUGGACUUCUGGAACAGGCGUAUUUAUUAGAUACAAAACCAAUGCGGGUUCUGCUCGCCAUUGUGUUGAAUCAUAGUAACUUAUCGAACGCCAUAGCCUUGUGCUGGGCGUAGAUCAUUCAAAUUUCUGCCCUAUCAGCUUUCGACGGUAGUGUAGUGGACUACCGUGGCGUUAACGGGUAACGGGGAAUUAGGGUUCGAUUCCGGAGAGGGAGCCUGAGAAACGGCUACCACAUCCAAGGAAGGCAGCAGG